GUGAGGAAUAUUGGUCAAUGGUCGGAAGACUGAACCAGCCAUGCCGCGUGCAGGAAGACGGUCCUAUGGAUUGUAAACUGCUUUUAUUCGGGGAUAAACCUCCUUACGUGUAGGGAGCUGAAGGUACCGAAAGAAUAAGCACCGGCUAACUCCGUGCCAGCAGCCGCGGUAAUACGGAGGGUGCAAGCGUUAUCCGGAAUCAUUGGGUUUAAAGGGUCCGCAGGCGGGAUUGUAAGUCAGUGGUGAAAUCCGGCAGCUCAACUGUCGCACUGCCAUUGAUACUGCAGUCCUUGAAUUCGAUUGGAGUGGGCGGAAUAUGUCAUGUAGCGGUGAAAUGCUUAGAUAUGACAUAGAACACCGAUAGCGAAGGCAGCUCACUAAGUCUGAAUUGACGCUCAUGGACGAAAGCGCGGGUAGCAAACAGGAUUAGAAACCCCUGUAGUCC
RNAcentral lists this ribosomal RNA (445 nucleotides) under uncultured bacterium. RNAcentral describes it as "partial 16S ribosomal RNA". It matches the Rfam family "Bacterial small subunit ribosomal RNA", at positions 354 to 796 of the family's 1533-position model. The record is from RNAcentral.